Molecule: transfer RNA, 76 nt
Filed under: Chloroflexota bacterium
Lineage: Bacteria; Bacillati; Chloroflexota
Also listed under: 3 other names
Description: tRNA-Arg
Rfam family: tRNA
About the family: Transfer RNA (tRNA) molecules are approximately 80 nucleotides in length.
Source: RNAcentral
GUGCCCGUAGCUCAGGGGAUAGAGCGCUUGGUUGCGGACCAAGAGGUCGGGGGUUCAAUUCCCUCCGGGCAUACCA